UACGUAGGGGGCAAGCGUUGUCCGGAAUCAUUGGGCGUAAAGAGCGUGUAGGCGGCCAGAAAAGUCCGCUGUGAAAACUCGAGGCUCAACUUCGAGCUGUCGGUGGAAACUUUCUGGCUAGAGUCCGGAAGAGGAGAAUGGAAUUCCUGGUGUAGCGGUGAAAUGCGCAGAUAUCGGGAAGAACACCCGUGGCGAAGGCGGUUCUCUGGGACGGUACUGACGCUGAGACGCGAAAGCGUGGGGAGCGAACAGG
RNAcentral lists this ribosomal RNA (253 nucleotides) under uncultured bacterium. Its description in RNAcentral is "partial 16S ribosomal RNA". It matches the Rfam family "Bacterial small subunit ribosomal RNA", at positions 524 to 776 of the family's 1533-position model. The record is from RNAcentral.